UGCAAGUCGAGCGGUAACAGGAAGAAAGCUUGCUUUUUUGCUGACGAGCGGCGGACGGGUGAGUAAUGCCUGGGAAAUUGCCCUGAUGUGGGGGAUAACCAUUGGAAACGAUGGCUAAUACCGCAUGAUGCCCUUGCUUAUAAUGAGCAGGGGCCAAAGAGGGGGACCUUCGGGCCUCUCGCGUCAGGAUAUGCCCAGGUGGGAUUAGCUAGUUGGUGAGGUAAUGGCUCACCAAGGCGACGAUCCCUAGCUGGUCUGAGAGGAUGAUCAGCCACACUGGAACUGAGACACGGUCCAGACUCCUACGGGAGGCAGCAGUGGGGAAUAUUGCACAAUGGGCGCAAGCCUGAUGCAGCCAUGCCGCGUGUAUGAAGAAGGCCUUCGGGUUGUAAAGUACUUUCAGUCGUGAGGAAGGGGGUAUCGUUAAUAGCGGUAUUCUUUGACGUUAGCGACAGAAGAAGCACCGGCUAACUCCGUGCCAGCAGCCGCGGUAAUACGGAGGGUGCGAGCGUUAAUCGGAAUUACUGGGCGUAAAGCGCAUGCAGGUGGUUUGUUAAGUCAGAUGUGAAAGCCCGGGGCUCAACCUCGGAGUUGCAUUUGAAACUGGCAGGCUAGAGUACUGUAGAGGGGGGUAGAAUUUCAGGUGUAGCGGUGAAAUGCGUAGAGAUCUGAAGGAAUACCGGUGGCGAAGGCGGCCCCCUGGACAGAUACUGACACUCAGAUGCGAAAGCGUGGGGAGCAAACAGGAUUAGAUACCCUGGUAGUCCACGCCGUAAACGAUGUCUACUUGGAGGUUGUGGCCUUGAGCCGUGGCUUUCGGAGCUAACGCGUUAAGUAGACCGCCUGGGGAGUACGGUCGCAAGAUUAAAACUCAAAUGAAUUGACGGGGGCCCGCACAAGCGGUGGAGCAUGUGGUUUAAUUCGAUGCAACGCGAAGAACCUUACCUACUCUUGACAUCUACAGAAUCCUGCGGAGACGCGGGAGUGCCUUCGGGAACUGUAAGACAGGUGCUGCAUGGCUGUCGUCAGCUCGUGUUGUGAAAUGUUGGGUUAAGUCCCGCAACGAGCGCAACCCUUAUCCUUGUUUGCCAGCACUAAUGGUGGGAACUCCAGGGAGACUGCCGGUGAUAAACCGGAGGAAGGUGGGGACGACGUCAAGUCAUCAUGGCCCUUACGAGUAGGGCUACACACGUGCUACAAUGGCGCAUACAGAGGGCGCAAGCUAGCGAUAGUGAGCGAAUCCCAAAAAGUGCGUCGUAGUCCGGAUUGGAGUCUGCAACUCGACUCCAUGAAGUCGGAAUCGCUAGUAAUCGUGGAUCAGAAUGCCACGGUGAAUACGUUCCCGGGCCUUGUACACACCGCCCGUCACACCAUGGGAGUGGGCUGCUAAAAGAAGCAGGUAGUUUAACCUUCGGGAGGACGCUGCC
RNAcentral lists this ribosomal RNA (1427 nucleotides) under Vibrio metschnikovii. RNAcentral's name for it is "bacterial SSU rRNA". It matches the Rfam family "Bacterial small subunit ribosomal RNA". Lineage: Bacteria; Pseudomonadati; Pseudomonadota; Gammaproteobacteria; Vibrionales; Vibrionaceae. The record is from RNAcentral.